RNAcentral lists this ribosomal RNA (365 nucleotides) under Burkholderia sp. 295S. RNAcentral describes it as "bacterial SSU rRNA". It matches the Rfam family "Bacterial small subunit ribosomal RNA", at positions 1006 to 1375 of the family's 1533-position model. The record is from RNAcentral. Lineage: Bacteria; Pseudomonadati; Pseudomonadota; Betaproteobacteria; Burkholderiales; Burkholderiaceae. RNAcentral also lists the same sequence under 1 other name.
AGGUGGGGGUGCCCGAAAGGGAGCCAUAACACAGGUGCUGCAUGGCUGUCGUCAGCUCGUGUCGUGAGAUGUUGGGUUAAGUCCCGCAACGAGCGCAACCCUUGUCCCUAGUUGCUACGCAAGAGCACUCCAGGGAGACUGCCGGUGACAAACCGGAGGAAGGUGGGGAUGACGUCAAGUCCUCAUGGCCCUUAUGGGUAGGGCUUCACACGUCAUACAAUGGUCGGAACAGAGGGUCGCCAACCCGCGAGGGGGAGCCAAUCCCAGAAAACCGAUCGUAGUCCGGAUCGCACUCUGCAACUCGAGUGCGUGAAGCUGGAAUCGCUAGUAAUCGCGGAUCAGCAUGCCGCGGUGAAUACGUUCCC